GGGGCCGACUGGUUUUGACAGCGAGACCAAUGGCGAUGUAAGCAUGUCGAGCGCUGGGAUAUAGCUCGUAAAUCUCAUAUUUCAAACUUUUAGUUGGCGAUAAUAAUUACGCUCUUGCCGCUUAAUCCGAAUUAUAGUAGGAUUUAGCCUCGUCUCUACCAGGUAGAGAAGCGAGAUGUCCCCGGAUAGCCCUUGUUGACGGCGAUUCAUUUAGGGGCACCAUAAAAGUCAACACAAGGGUACUAUUGCUUUGUUAGUAUCACCAAAAUCUUAAGAAGCUAAGUGUGUAAUAGGCGGUUUUUGGUCAGCUACACAUCGAAAAUUGAACAAAAACUAAACAUGUAGAAAGCUUUGUUAUUGCUUGUUUGGACGGGAGUUCGAUUCUCCCCGGCUCCACGA
Molecule: transfer-messenger RNA, 399 nt
Filed under: bacterium
Lineage: Bacteria
Rfam family: transfer-messenger RNA
About the family: Bacterial tmRNA, also known as 10Sa RNA or SsrA, is named for its dual tRNA and mRNA-like properties. Its role is to liberate the mRNA from a stalled ribosome. To accomplish this part of the tmRNA is used as a reading frame that ends in a translation stop signal.
Source: RNAcentral